Molecule: non-coding RNA, 196 nt
Organism: Glossina pallidipes
Lineage: Eukaryota; Metazoa; Arthropoda; Insecta; Diptera; Glossinidae
Source: Rfam
AGAUCCCACCAUCGGAAGUGUGGGAAUGACAACCAGCCUCCGCGAAGUAAUACCUAACGGUGGUCCCGCGGGGGAGAGUGGUAGAAGAAGUGUGUGGGGGGUAGUUUUUAGUACAUAAGCGCCAUGGAUGGCGAAUCGUGCAUCCUGCUACUAGGAAACAGCAGUAUCUUUUGAAGAAUUUCUACCCCCUGCUAGC